RNAcentral lists this ribosomal RNA (401 nucleotides) under Crustacea environmental sample. Its description in RNAcentral is "partial small subunit ribosomal RNA". It matches the Rfam family "Eukaryotic small subunit ribosomal RNA", at positions 30 to 432 of the family's 1831-position model. Lineage: Eukaryota; Metazoa; Arthropoda. The record is from RNAcentral.
GCUUGUCUCAAAGAUUAAGCCAUGCAUGUCUAAGUACAAGCCUCAGUAAGGUGAAACCGCGAAUGGCUCAUUAAAUCACACCUAAUCUACUGGAAAGUUACUAGUUACUUGGAUAACUGAGGUAAUUCUUGAGCUAAUACAUGCGAAAAAUCUCGACUCACGGAGAGAUGCUUUUAUUAGAUCAAAACCAAACGGCUUCGGCCGUCUCAUUGGUGACUCUGAAUAACUUUGGGCUGAUCGUAUGGCCUUGUGCCGACGACGUUUCCUUCGAAGGUGUGCCCUAUCAGCUUCCGACGGUAAGGUAUUGGCUUACCGUGGCAAUGACGGGUAACGGAGAAUUAGGGUUUGAUUCCGGAGAGGGAGCCUGAGAAACGGCUACCACAUCUAAGGAAGGCAGCAGG